UGCCUGCCUUCACUUGAAAACUCCAAGUACUGCCGUUUCAACCAGGACCCAGAAGCAGCACCCUCACAGACACACCCAGGAUCAGUACUUUGCAUCCUUCAAUCCAAUCAAGUUGACACUCAGUAUUAACCAUCACAACUACUGAAAAAGCGUUAAAAUUCUGUAAACAUUAAUGAUCUUCCUGCAUCCUGUUUAUAAGCAAAUUUGAAAUUUAAAAAAUUUAUGUGAUGUUAGACGGCAGCAAUAAAUGUAGAAAAUUAAAAA
This 264-nucleotide small RNA is filed under the name Pongo abelii (Sumatran orangutan). Its description in RNAcentral is "processed transcript". The record is from RNAcentral. Lineage: Eukaryota; Metazoa; Chordata; Mammalia; Primates; Hominidae.